Molecule: ribosomal RNA, 279 nt
Filed under: uncultured bacterium
Lineage: Bacteria
Description: partial 16S ribosomal RNA
Rfam family: Bacterial small subunit ribosomal RNA
Source: RNAcentral
UGCCAGCCGCCGCGGUAAUACGGAAGGUGCAAGCGUUAAUCGGAAUUACUGGGCGUAAAGCGCGCGUAGGUGGUUUGUUAAGUUGGAUGUGAAAGCCCGGGGCUCAACCCCGGAACUGCCUCCAAAACUGCCAGUCUAGAGUUCGAGAGAGGUGAGUGGAACUCCAAGUGUAGAGGUGAAAUUCGUAGAUAUUUGGAAGAACACCAGUGGCGAAGGCGACACUCUGGGCCGCUAUCGACGCUGAGGAGCGAAAGCUAGGGGAGCAAACAGGAUUAGAUA